RNAcentral lists this ribosomal RNA (253 nucleotides) under uncultured bacterium. RNAcentral describes it as "partial 16S ribosomal RNA". It matches the Rfam family "Bacterial small subunit ribosomal RNA", at positions 524 to 776 of the family's 1533-position model. The record is from RNAcentral.
GACAGAGGGUGCAAACGUUGUUCGGAAUUACUGGGCGUAAAGCGCGUGUAGGCGGCCCUGCAAGUCGGGCGUGAAAUCCCACGGCUCAACCGUGGAAGUGCACUCGAAACUGCAGGGCUAGAGUCCUGGAGAGGAAGGUGGAAUGCUUGGUGUAGAGGUGAAAUUCGUAGAUAUCAAGCGGAACACCGGUGGCGAAGGCGGCCUUCUGGACAGUGACUGACGCUGAGACGCGAAAGCGUGGGGAGCAAACAGG